This is a long non-coding RNA of Brienomyrus brachyistius, 242 nucleotides long. RefSeq lists it as uncharacterized. NCBI's taxonomy places the organism in Eukaryota, Metazoa, Chordata, Actinopteri, Osteoglossiformes, Mormyridae. The transcript has 3 exons. The record is from RefSeq and is a predicted model, not a curated record.
GGGUCUUUUGGGACGGAGGCCGCCAAUAGCAGGAGUGGCUGCAUGAACACCAGGCCGUCUUGGAUCUAGGCAACUAAGUGUUUCACUUCACACUAUAUAUCCAGACGUUGGAAAAGUUCACGUCGAGUGAGUCACGUACUUGUGAAAUCGCACUGCUAGCCAGCUUGCCUGUGGGCGUCCCGCUGGGACACUCGCUCUUCGCCGGGGAUGACGGGGCCGUGUUCGCAUGGCGUAUCUGCACG